GGACUGCAGCUGGUGCAGGGCUGGAACUGUUCUGGGUCAGGGUCCUGCUCCAGCCCCAGGGGGGUUCAAAGCCCUUCCUGGGAGUUGCACCAGCCCUGGUGAAGGACAGAGGUGCCUAGAAAUUGCAUUUAUUCAAAGGAAAUAAGUCAUUUGCUGAAAACACACUGUUCUGCUAUGCAAAGGAGAAAAGGCAGGUAUUCCUAAAAUUAACCCAAUGCCAGUGCAAGUCUUUGCUGGGCUCCCAGUCUGCAGGCACUAAACUGGGAGAGCCCAAAGCCUUAUCUAAAGAGUGUCUGAUUUCUGACAGCACUCAAAGAGCAGAUGCCUCCUGUAUUCUUGAGUUCUGUGUCACUCUCAUGCAUCUCACAGAUCCUCACCAGAGCUCUCUCCCAGUGCUCUGUGAUGCAGACACCUGCCUGUAGGAGCCACAUCCUGGUGUUUAAUUUUGUUCCCCUUCUGUUGGGAGGCUGGGGGGCCCUCACUGCUCUCUGCAGCUUCCUGGGGAGGGGAAGGAGGAGCUGAGCUCUUCUCCCUGCUACCCAGUGAUGGUGGAGUGGCUCAAAGCUGUUCUAGGAGGGGUUCAGAAUGAACAUUAGGAGCAUUUCUUUCAGAAUGAACAUUAGGAGCAUUUCUUUCCAGAGAGAGUGGUCAAACACUGGAGCACCUUCCUGGAGAGCUGCUGGAUGCCCCAAGCCUGUCAGUGUUUGAGAGCUGUUUGGACAAUGGCCUUAAUAAUUGUUUUCAUUUUUGGUCAGCCUUGAAGUGGUCAUGGAGUUGGACUAAAGGAUUGUUGUUGGUCCCUUUGGACUGGAAAUUUCUGAUUAAAACUCCUGAUGGAUUGUUCUGUGAUUUGGUCUUGAACUCAUCAGUGACACAGAAA
Long non-coding RNA from Passer domesticus (house sparrow), 880 nucleotides. RefSeq lists it as uncharacterized. Lineage: Eukaryota; Metazoa; Chordata; Aves; Passeriformes; Passeridae. The record is from RefSeq and is a predicted model, not a curated record. The transcript has 2 exons.